GGAUGUGAGGGUGAUGUGGCCGGGGCAUCUGUCACCCCACUGAUCGCCAGGAUUGAUUCGGCAGAUCUGGCUGGCUAGGGGGGUGCCCCCUUUCUCUCUCACUGCUCCAGCUGCAUCCUCUCAAAAACUGUCCUCUUGGUGCAAGAGGACGACCACGGCCAAUAGGGAAGGACCAUUUCCUCAGAAAAAGGGGUACAAGUAUCUGUACUCCCCUGCUGGAACCUCCAAACAAGCUCUCAAAGUGAACUACCACUGGAUUUUUCCUAUACGUGAAUCAAUAAAUUUCUCCUCAUUUCUUUUGGAGAGGUCUCUAAG
This is an unclassified non-coding RNA of Cavia porcellus (domestic guinea pig), 315 nucleotides long. Its record names the gene 7SK. It matches the Rfam family "7SK RNA". Rfam says of the family: 7SK was discovered as an abundant small nuclear RNA in the mid-70s but a possible function has only recently been suggested. The record is from Ensembl. Lineage: Eukaryota; Metazoa; Chordata; Mammalia; Rodentia; Caviidae.